GUGGAAAAUUUCUUGGCUGAACUCAUUCUACCAUGGACUAAGCAAGAAAUUGGAAAGGACGGUUUCACUUGGGAAACACACAGAGAGAGGAAGAACAGUACCCUUCUUUUGUCACCUUCAAUCUUCUCAUUUUCUUGAAUAGAAUAGCCAAGGAAGAGUAACCCAUCAAUCUUUUCCACUUUCUUCCACAAUAGGCAAGAAAGAAGGGGUGAUUACUCUUUCCCAUAAUAUAGUUUGAAGGGGGAAGAAAUAGUCAUUGGCGGGAUUUUCUCUGCAAAUGAGGAGUUUAGCAACUUGUUACAGUGAACAUGCCAUUAAAAUAUCAGAUUCGUAUUGCUCCUCAGGCCCUUCAAACCAGGCCUAUCUUUCCCUUUACCAGACACCUUCAAUUCCCAAUGCAGUUAGUUGUUUGUAUAAAGUCAAACUUUUAUCUCAAAAAAGCCUCUUGAUCACCCUCACAUGGUGCAACAAGCUGCUAAGCCAAGGCCUCUCCAUCAAUAUUAGUGAUUCCAUUUCAUCCCCUUCAAAAAUCAAUGACAAUUUUCACCACCUGCAAAGAAGUAAAGGCUCCAAGACAUUCCAUUCUUGCAAUUCAAAGAUUGAAGUUUUCUGGGAUAUUUCUGCAGCUUAUUAUGACACAGGACCUGAGCCGAUCAGUGGGUUUUACGUGGUGGUUUUGGUUGAUUCAGAACUUGGUCUACUCCUUGGAGAUAGGGAUGAAGAAACACCCAGUCUACAAGCCCUCAAAACAAAAUCACCGCAAUCGAAAUCCUCAAUGGUGUCUCGAAGCGAGCAUUUCUCAGGCAAUUCAAUUUAUUCGACCAAGGCUCAGUUCUGCGAUUCUGGAAUAGCUCAUGAUAUAUUAAUCAAGUGCAGUGGAGAAGAAGAUGGAUUGAAGAAUCCUGUAUUGUCUGUGUGCAUUGAUAAUAAGAUGAUUUUUCAAGUGAAGAGAUUGAAGUGGAAUUUUAGAGGGAAUCAGAUCAUUUUCUUGGAUGGUUUAUUGGUGGAUGUGAUGUGGGAUUUGCAUGAUUGGUUCUUUAAGGAAACUUCUGGGUAUGCUGUUUUCAUGUUUAGGACAAGAAGUGGAUUGGAUAGUAGAUUGUGGCUGGAGGAGAAGAACUUGGGGCAGAAGGGACAAGACAGGGCAGAGUUCUCCUUGUUGAUCUGCGCAUGUAAGAAUCCUGAAUGAUUCCUUGAAUUUUUCUUUUUUCAAUUGCUUCUUUUGUAUAUAAAACAUCUUCAUGGCCUAGUCUUUCUGUAUUUGUGUGUCAAGGGAGGAGAAUGCCAAGGUUUGAACUUACUGUAUUUUUUUACAAAAGUUCAUGAUAUUCCCUGGAAGAUAAACAUUUCAGUAGAAAAAAAUCUCUAUAUAGGAUCAUGAAAUGCUUGUUUUUAAUUGUUGAUGCAAUAUGGUGAGAUUGGUGAUCUUUAAACAUGGUGGGUGUGGGAGGACAAUUUUCAUAUCAGACAAUAGCCACUAUAUUUUGUAGGAGUUGAUUGAAAUUUUUGAGUCCUUUGUAAGCAGCAGGCAGACAAAUGUCCCUCUUUUUGGGCGCAGAAAGGGGAAUGCAUCCUUGUAAUAAAAAUACCAAAUGCAUGUCCUAAUGAGCGGAAGCCUUUCUCCAAGCUUUGUUAAUUGAUUCCUCUU
Molecule: unclassified non-coding RNA, 1648 nt
Filed under: Hevea brasiliensis (rubber tree)
Lineage: Eukaryota; Viridiplantae; Streptophyta; Magnoliopsida; Malpighiales; Euphorbiaceae
Source: RNAcentral